ACCAUUUGCUAGUUGGUUAGAGCAUCCGGCUCAUAACCGGACGGUCCUGGGUUCGAGUCCCCGAUGGCCCACCA
This 74-nucleotide transfer RNA is filed under the name Oscillospiraceae bacterium. RNAcentral's name for it is "tRNA-Ile". It matches the Rfam family "tRNA". Rfam says of the family: Transfer RNA (tRNA) molecules are approximately 80 nucleotides in length. Their secondary structure includes four short double-helical elements and three loops (D, anti-codon, and T loops). The record is from RNAcentral. Lineage: Bacteria; Bacillati; Bacillota; Clostridia; Eubacteriales; Oscillospiraceae.